CAGAUUGAACGCUGGCGGCAUGCCUAACACAUGCGAGUCGAACGGGAGUAGCAAUACUCUAGUGGCGGACGGGUGAGGAAUACGUAGGAAUUUGCCCUUAAGUGGGGGAUAACCCGGGGAAACCCGGAUUAAUACCGCAUGACCUCGAAAGAGCAAAGUGGGGGAUCGCAAGACCUCACGCUUUUGGAGAAGCCUACGUCGGAUUAGCUAGUUGGUGAGG
RNAcentral lists this ribosomal RNA (220 nucleotides) under uncultured soil bacterium. RNAcentral describes it as "partial 16S ribosomal RNA". It matches the Rfam family "Bacterial small subunit ribosomal RNA", at positions 25 to 257 of the family's 1533-position model. The record is from RNAcentral.